UGGGGAAUAUUGCACAAUGGAGGAAACUCUGAUGCAGCAACGCCGCGUGGAGGAUGACGCAUUUCGGUGUGUAAACUCCUUUUAUAUAGGAAGAUAAUGACGGUACUAUAUGAAUAAGCACCGGCUAACUCCGUGCCAGCAGCCGCGGUAAUACGGAGGGUGCAAGCGUUACUCGGAAUCACUGGGCGUAAAGCGUGCGCAGGCGGCCUGAUAAGUUGGAAGUGAAAUCCUAUGGCUUAACCAUAGAACUGCUUCCAAAACUGUCAGGCUAGAGUCUGGGAGGGGAAGAUGGAAUUAGUUGUGUAGGGGUAAAAUCCGUAGAGAUAACUAGGAAUACCAAAAGCGAAGGCGAUCUUCUGGAACAGUACUGACGCUGAGGUACGAAAGCGUGGGGAGCAAACA
This 402-nucleotide ribosomal RNA is filed under the name uncultured Campylobacterota bacterium. RNAcentral's name for it is "bacterial SSU rRNA". It matches the Rfam family "Bacterial small subunit ribosomal RNA", at positions 355 to 774 of the family's 1533-position model. The record is from RNAcentral. Lineage: Bacteria; Pseudomonadati; Campylobacterota.